UACGUAGGGGGCAAGCGUUGUCCGGAAUCAUUGGGCGUAAAGCGCGUGUAGGCGGCUGGGUAAGUCCGCUCUGAAAGCCCGGGGCUCAACCCCGGGAGGCGGGUGGAUACUGCUCAGCUCGAGUCCGGAAGAGGAGUGUGGAAUUCCUGGUGUAGCGGUGAAAUGCGCAGAUAUCAGGAGGAACCCCAAUGGCGAAGGCAGCACUCUGGGACGGUACUGACGCUGAGACGCGAAAGCGUGGGGAGCAAACAGG
This 253-nucleotide ribosomal RNA is filed under the name uncultured bacterium. Its description in RNAcentral is "partial 16S ribosomal RNA". It matches the Rfam family "Bacterial small subunit ribosomal RNA", at positions 524 to 776 of the family's 1533-position model. The record is from RNAcentral.